CUCGUAGGCGGUUCAGCAAGUCGGGUGUGAAAACUCUGGGCUUAACCCAGAGCCUGCACUCGAAACUGCUGUGACUAGAGUUCGGUAGGGGAGCAGGGAAUUCCUAGUGUAGCGGUGAAAUGCGCAGAUAUUAGGAGGAACACCAAUGGCGAAGGCACUGCUCUGGGCCGAUACUGACGCUGAGGAGCGAGAGCGUGGGUAGCAAACA
Molecule: ribosomal RNA, 208 nt
Filed under: uncultured bacterium
Lineage: Bacteria
Description: partial 16S ribosomal RNA
Rfam family: Bacterial small subunit ribosomal RNA
Source: RNAcentral